AUGUUUUACAGUCAAAUGGCUGGGUGUGGCUUUGUUGUUGCUGCCAGUGCUUCUCCAGCCUGCACCAUACAAGUUGAAGGAGAGCGUUCCGACCCAGCAGAGGUUCAGCAGGCCUUCACUGACUUCCAACCUACUGGAACCAGUCUGGUGAAGAACCUGAAUGGGACCACAGUGGAGCACCACAUGUCCUUAUGGCUGCAGAAGACCAUCGAUGUUCCCAAGAAUUUGUGACCAUCAGUGGAACUGGAAUACCCGUCUGUUCUUAAACAUUGUUUGUGUUGAUGUCAACUCUCCAGAACCACGAGCACAGAUUUGGGGGUUUAUUCAGACAUUUAUCUUUGCAUCAUGAAUCUAACGCUGUGAAGCUUUGAGGGCUCAUGUUGCUAUGAUGUAAGGUUGAUGUUCUGCUGACUAAAGCAUUAAGGUGAGUGUUGGGAGCUGAUGGACAUUUACUUCACUACAGUUCUUCCAUUAAAGUUGUUUAACAUGUUUAAGACAUUACAAGUUACGAAAUGUUUAAUAUUUGUCAUUAAUAAAUGUAAUUAGUAGUCAUUUACAAAACCAGUUUGAAUAUGAACGCAUGUUUAGAGAAAGUAGAAAAUGCAGCUUUAUUUGUUAUCUUUGUAUUUUGAAAAUUAACAUAAUUUUUAUGAUAAAGAUUUGACUGAGACAUGUUCAUUUUGUUUUAUUGAAUUAUUCAGUUUGUAUUUUAUUUAUUGUAUUUACUGUAGAAUUGGGUCAUUUUAACCCGAGCUUUAGUAACUUAAUAACCCAGAAGUUGGGUUUUAUUUUUAACCCAGUUGUGGGUAGUCCUAACUAUACAGUUGGGUCAUUUGAACCCAUUGACUGGGUAGAAAGCAUAACCCAAUAAGCUGGGUCCAACUCAUAACCCAACCCUGCUAGGUUAAAAUAACCCAGGUGCUGGGUCGGUCCCUUUUGGACCCAGCACCUGGGUUACUAAACAACCCAAAUUGGGUUAUUUUUAACCCAGCAGUUUUAAGUGUGAUGAUGUGGCUUUUAGACCACGACUCGUUUUAUUAUUCUAUUGUGUUCUUGGUGGUCCUCGUGUUUUAUCUGCUUGUAUUCGUAUCCUGUGUUCUGAUUGGUCGUGAUUUGGUCCAGCCUGUGCAGCACUCUGGGCAGCUCCCAUGCUGCGCUGUAAAUGUGCCAUACACAUAAGCUGUGGACGUGGUAUGUGUUGUAAGAACCUCGUAGAACCUCAGUAGGUGCCAUGUGGUUACCAUUUACAGGACCCCCCUCCGACAUCUCCAUUAACCCCCAGUUCACCUCUGACAGUCACAGUGAAGUCAGACAGAAAGGCGGAGCCAGCUGACAGAGAAAGGUACGCUAAUGAACAAAGAGAAAUUCCCAACAAACUGUAAAACUUCGGGUUCUGCAGCACGGAACCGCGCGCUGGAGCUACAGGUGUUAUGCAGAGAAAAGUGACCCUGCCUGCCGACGGCUCCGCCUACCUGCUCCGUCACACACGGCUCACAGCUGCAUGGUGAGGGAGUAAAGAACUUGAAAUAAGAGCAACGCUGCUACUUUUAAGUAUAUUCACAAUAUAAACAAGUUUUCAUUGGUGCACUUCCUAAAUACAUAAAAGUCAAACUUAAAGGACCAUUCGGAUGUGUUUUCUUCUCAUUUUAAUGCUUUUCUGAAAAGUAUCGGACAGGACUCGGUAUCGACAGACACUCAGAAUCAGAUCAGGAACAAAAUAAGGUGAUCGGAACAUCUCUACUUUAUUCCUCUCAGCUCGAGGCUACCAGGGCGCCAGAUUCAGAUAAGAACUGUUUGGGUCAGGCAGACAUAAUUCUCUCUGCCUUUCAGUUGUUAACCGAUCAUUCCAGUCUCUCGGUACAUCCAUUUUUGGGAUUAACCUUGCCCAUACCAUGAACUGACUUCCUCCAAGAUCACACCCAUCUUGCGCACUAACACCAGGAUCGCAGCUAGAAUCUCUAGCUGGCCAUUCACCUUGAGCAGCUUCCCAGUCUGAGCCGUCUCCACACGGCUGACACUUUCCAUGGUCAUUGUUAAACUUCAUGCUGUACAACAUGUCGUCCUUUAUUAGCUAAACACCACUAAACAUCAUCAUACACGGUGUCGGAAGUUGGCGAGAAGAUUCCGAAGUUGGCGCUUCAGCGCGACUGAACGGGAAAGCUCAACUCGACAGCGGACCAGACGUAACGUGCUGGUAAGAGAAGGGCCUGCUAGCACGCA
RNAcentral lists this long non-coding RNA (2220 nucleotides) under Nothobranchius furzeri (turquoise killifish). Its description in RNAcentral is "lncRNA (ENSNFUG00015019840.1)". The record is from RNAcentral. Lineage: Eukaryota; Metazoa; Chordata; Actinopteri; Cyprinodontiformes; Nothobranchiidae.